AACAAUACAUAUGGGGCAAUAAACAUAUAAAAUUUCAAAACAAAUGUUUAAUAUUCUCACAUUGGAUAACCAAUGGAAUACUAUUUAUUAAUGAUAUAAUAGAUGAAGCAGGAAAUAUAUCACAAAAGGCAGUAUUAGAUAAAUUGACCCUCAAAUCCAUCUGGAUAUCAGAACUAUCUAGAAUAAGAGCUGCAAUACCAAAAAAAUGGCAAAUGAUAAUGAAAUCAGAUAACUCGCGCAAUACUCAAGUUAAAACAGAUAAAAGGCUAUACUUAAAAACACAAAAUAAUACAAAAUUGAUCAGAUUUGAAAACCUUCCAUCAAAAGAAAUUUAUAAAAGUAUUAGCUCAUGUUAUAUACUGGAAAAAACACCAAUUGGCUUUCUAAAAUGGAAAACACAAUUAAAAUUAGAUUCAUCAAGCCAUUUGUACAAAAUGCUGAACUUUAUAUUCAAUAGUUUACAAGUAAACAAACUAAAAAUAUUCAGAUGGAAGUUAAUUCAUUAUAUACUUCCUUGUAAACAACUAUUGUACACCUGGCAUCUGAAAAAUGAUGACCAGUGCCAUAUUUGCAACCAAUUAGAAAACUAUGAACAUUUUUUCAUUUCAUGCAAAUACUUUUAAAACUUUUGGAAAAAGGUCAAAAUACUCCUUGAUAAAAUAAAAAUGGGAACACACAUAAUCACCUUCAAAAAUCUAAUACUAGGCUACAAAAUAUAUGAUAAAAAUUAUUAUGACAUUAAUCUAUUUCUCACUGUAAUAUUAUUCUCUAUUCAUAAAUCUACAUAUGCAUCAGAGUAUAAACAAAACAAUGUUGAUGUCUAUAGAAUAUUUAAAACAGAAUUUAAACAACAUUAUGAAAAUAUGAAACUUCUUGAUAAAACAACAAGUAGAUUUUUGAAUGAUGUUUAUAAAAAAAUAUAAUAACCAUAAUGUAUUAUUGCGCAUGAUCAUUCUUCUGUAUUACUAUAUAUACUAUGUAGAAAAACUCAAAUGUAAACAAAUGUAUUAUUUUAAGAUGUUUAAAUGUGACGCAUGGUCAAUGUUUACCUGUAGGACAUGAUUUUUGACCCCGUACUGUCUACUGUCUAAUUACUGGAAAAUAUCUAAUAUUUUAGGGGGAAAAAAAUCCUUCUUGAUCAAUUUAUCAUAAGUCAAUGGGAAUAUAACAAAACUCACCUUUAGAAAUACUCAAUUUAGAUCCUUUGUUCAUGAAAUCAUUCCACGUGUUAUCCUUCAAUCAUUCGAUCAUCUCAAUUUUCACGAGAUUAUGCCGAUCAAGGUUAAGGGUCAA
This 1293-nucleotide long non-coding RNA is filed under the name Mytilus galloprovincialis (Mediterranean mussel). Lineage: Eukaryota; Metazoa; Mollusca; Bivalvia; Mytilida; Mytilidae. The record is from RNAcentral.